RNAcentral lists this ribosomal RNA (253 nucleotides) under uncultured bacterium. Its description in RNAcentral is "partial 16S ribosomal RNA". It matches the Rfam family "Bacterial small subunit ribosomal RNA", at positions 524 to 776 of the family's 1533-position model. The record is from RNAcentral.
GACAGAGGGUGCAAACGUUGUUCGGAAUUACUGGGCGUAAAGCGCGUGUAGGCGGUUAGGCAAGUCGGAUGGGAAAUCCCGUGGCUCAACUACGGAAGUGCACCCGAAACUGCUUGACUUGAGUCCCGGAGAGGAAGGCGGAAUGCUUGGUGUAGAGGUGAAAUUCGUAGAUAUCAAGCGGAACACCGGUGGCGAAGGCGGCCUUCUGGACGAGGACUGACGCUGAGACGCGAAAGCGUGGGGAGCAAACAGC